AUUGCCACAUUGAAACAAUGGUUCCUGUAUGAUCUCCAAAGUUAAGCAACAUCAAGUUUGGUCAGUACCUAGAUGAGUGACUGCUUGGGAAUACCAGAUGCUGUAAG
Non-coding RNA from Acanthosepion pharaonis, 107 nucleotides. The record is from the annotation of a GenBank genome assembly. Lineage: Eukaryota; Metazoa; Mollusca; Cephalopoda; Sepiida; Sepiidae.